GUGAAUCAUCGAAUUUUUGAACGCAAAUUGCACUCUCUUCGGUGAGUAUGCCUGUUUGAGGGUCAGCCUAUAAAAAAUGGACAUCGUAGCUGUUUCGCGGUGGCGUUCGUAGGGAAUUGGGUCAUUUUAUAUCUUUUGGUUUUAAGAGAUUUAAAAUUUUCUUUUUGGUUCCAUGACGGUUUCUAAGUAUUACUUGUUUACAUGUUUAUGGUAUUGU
Molecule: unclassified non-coding RNA, 217 nt
Filed under: Glomus sp.
Lineage: Eukaryota; Fungi; Glomeromycota; Glomeromycetes; Glomerales; Glomeraceae
Description: partial contains 5.8S ribosomal RNA and internal transcribed spacer 2
Rfam family: 5.8S ribosomal RNA (bases 1-65)
Source: RNAcentral